UAUUAUGGGAUACACGUUUUUAAACAUCCUUUUGUGUGUAAGUGUGCAUUAGUACAUGCUAACGAUAUUCAAAAAGUACAUACCUCAAAGAAAACGAUGACGCGAGUUAUCGUCUCUAACGUUCGAGGACUACAAAAAACACUCGGAUUGUAGGCAACAGUUUACUUCCUGGGAUUAGUGACGUAGAUAAGACCAACAUUAUCAUAGUUCAGCCCUCUCUGCUUUGCUUGGGUACGCCCUCAAAGACGGGGGUGGGGAGCGCCGAGUCAGAAGAGAGCUAAAAUGGCGGAGGUUGUGAGUCCCUGCUUUGACUCUGUUUGCAAACUCUUGUUUCAUUGUUUAAGCGAUUAAAUCUCUCGAGUAGACGCUGUCUCUUUAGAUGCGAGGGCAAAAUAGCACUUUAUGGACUUCCACAGAGGACAUCAUGUUUAAUACGGUUCCGGAAAAAUCCAGUCAGAAGUUGUUCACGGAGUUUUCACAAUAACUGCUUCUCAUGAACCGAAGCUGGAUUUGCGCGACGUCUCCUCUUGAAAGUUGGAUUACUGUGCACUUCUGGAUCACAGACUAUUCGCAGCUGUACACAUCCUUCUACACUGUAUGCAAACAUGCAACAUCAUUACACACAGUACAAGGAGUCAGACUGGCAUAUGAGGAGCAAAGGAACCCAGGCAGUAGCAUCGUUUCACAAUGUUUCCAUCAUCAUCAUCAGUGGAUGCCUUUGCCGUCCGUAGCCUGAGAUUUCAGAUUUGCAG
Long non-coding RNA from Paramisgurnus dabryanus, 752 nucleotides. RefSeq lists it as uncharacterized. NCBI's taxonomy places the organism in Eukaryota, Metazoa, Chordata, Actinopteri, Cypriniformes, Cobitidae. The record is from RefSeq and is a predicted model, not a curated record.